CACCUGUUUAUCAAAAACAUGUCUUUUUGAAUUUUUUUUAAAGUCUAACCUGCCCACUGAAAUUUUUUAAAUGGCCGCAGUAUACUAACUGUGCAAAGGUAGCAUAAUCAUUAGUCUUUUAAUUGAAGGCUGGUAUGAAUGGUUGGACGAGAUAUUAACUGUUUCAUAAAAAUUUAUAAUAGAAUUUUAUUUUUUAGUCAAAAAGCUAAAAUAUAUUUAAAAGACGAGAAGACCCUAUAAAUCUUUAUAUCUAGAUUAUUAUAAUUUUAUAGAUUUUUUUUGUUAUAAUAAUUAAUGAUAUUUUAUUGGGGUGAUAUUAAAAUUUAAUAAACUUUUAAUUGUUAAAAUCAUUAAUUUAUGAAUAAUUGAUCCGUUAUUAGCGAUUAAAAAAAUAAGUUACUUUAGGGAUAACAGCGUAAUUUUUUUGGAGAGUUCAUAUCGAUAAAAAAGAUUGCGACCUCGAUGUUGGAUUAAGAUAUAAUUUUAGGUGUAGCCGCUUAAAUUUUAAGUCUGUUCGACUUUUAAAUUCUUACGUGAUCUGAGUUCAGACCGG
RNAcentral lists this ribosomal RNA (553 nucleotides) under Calliphora vomitoria. RNAcentral's name for it is "partial 16S ribosomal RNA". It matches the Rfam family "Bacterial large subunit ribosomal RNA", at positions 1797 to 2619 of the family's 2925-position model. Lineage: Eukaryota; Metazoa; Arthropoda; Insecta; Diptera; Calliphoridae. The record is from RNAcentral.